Molecule: ribosomal RNA, 604 nt
Filed under: Fusarium sp. OTU007 AN-2016
Lineage: Eukaryota; Fungi; Ascomycota; Sordariomycetes; Hypocreales; Nectriaceae
Description: eukaryotic LSU rRNA
Rfam family: 5.8S ribosomal RNA (bases 219-372)
Source: RNAcentral
CUUGGUCAUUUAGAGGAAGUAAAAGUCGUAACAAGGUCUCCGUUGGUGAACCAGCGGAGGGAUCAUUACCGAGUUAUUCAACUCAUCAACCCUGUGAACAUACCUAAACGUUGCUUCGGCGGGAACAGACGGCCCCGUGAAACGGGCCGCCCCCGCCAGAGGACCCCUAACUCUGUUUCUAUAAUGUUUCUUCUGAGUAAAACAAGCAAAUAAAUUAAAACUUUCAACAACGGAUCUCUUGGCUCUGGCAUCGAUGAAGAACGCAGCGAAAUGCGAUAAGUAAUGUGAAUUGCAGAAUUCAGUGAAUCAUCGAAUCUUUGAACGCACAUUGCGCCCGCCAGUAUUCUGGCGGGCAUGCCUGUUCGAGCGUCAUUACAACCCUCAGGCCCCCGGGCCUGGCGUUGGGGAUCGGCGGAGCCCCCCGUGGGCACACGCCGUCCCCCAAAUGCAGUGGCGGUCCCGCCGCAGCUUCCAUCGCGUAGUAGCUAACACCUCGCGACUGGAGAGCGGCGCGGCCACGCCGUAAAACACCCAACUCUUCUGAAGUUGACCUCGAAUCAGGUAGGAAUACCCGCUGAACUUAAGCAUAUCAAUAAGCGGAGGA